AACCAGGGAAGAAUGUUACCUGCAGGUAAUGAUGGAGGCUCCAGUGUGAUCGCUUCAGUACCUGAUGACAACUGUCUUACUAGAGAGAAACUAAACUUGGAACAGACAAAAAAUGAAGAUUCUGACAUUUACCAUGUGUACGCCACCAUCUCUGAAGCAACAGAUCCACCAGAUUCAC
This is a non-coding RNA of Neolamprologus brichardi, 178 nucleotides long. NCBI's taxonomy places the organism in Eukaryota, Metazoa, Chordata, Actinopteri, Cichliformes, Cichlidae. The record is from RefSeq and is a predicted model, not a curated record.